GAAGUCCUAGCUGAACGGGAAAGCACUGGGUUGGGAAUCCAGAGACUUGGAUUCAAAUCCUGUCUUUA
Molecule: transfer RNA, 68 nt
Filed under: Monodelphis domestica (gray short-tailed opossum)
Lineage: Eukaryota; Metazoa; Chordata; Mammalia; Didelphimorphia; Didelphidae
Rfam family: tRNA
About the family: Transfer RNA (tRNA) molecules are approximately 80 nucleotides in length. Their secondary structure includes four short double-helical elements and three loops (D, anti-codon, and T loops).
Source: Rfam by way of RNAcentral